UUCACUUUUCACUACGCAUGUACGCUUUUAACUUUCGUUUUGAAUUUCUCUCGCUCUUCUCCGCCCUCAACUUUCGUGUUUCUAGUUCGCAUUCGCAUUUUCCCUGCUCUCUUCAGUGCAGCGCUGGAGGAGAGGAAGCUCGUCGGAGCUGCAAUUAUUUUGCCGUCGAUGGUGCCUCUUGAGGUGUGAGCUUUGGUGAAAACAUUUAUGAAGAGUUGUGAAGGUGUGUCUCCGAUUCUGCAUUUAACUUUCCAUUUAAGUUGAGUCCCACCAUGCCUCAGAGAAAUUCCUUCAUUGAUGUUUUUAUUGUUAAAUGGAGCGUAUUAUAGUUUCCUAGAAUGAUAGUAUGCAUAUGGUAAGUGUUAAAACUGGUGCCUUUGCUUUUAGGACCAUGAUAGAUCCCCAAUAUCUUCAAUAUCUAAGAAACAGUCCCCCCUUUACUUCCCAUUGCAGUGCACGACAUUGUCUUACAUUGUUUCAUUCCUUCUAUUAGCAUUAACUGACAUGCCAGAAUUUGUGUCUUUGUUUGUACUGAAUCGUAAAACAAGUGGUAAAAUUUAAAAAUCACUAUGAGCAAAACGACAAGGGACAGCCCCUGUCCCAUUUUCA
This is a long non-coding RNA of Vigna unguiculata (cowpea), 609 nucleotides long. Lineage: Eukaryota; Viridiplantae; Streptophyta; Magnoliopsida; Fabales; Fabaceae. The record is from RefSeq and is a predicted model, not a curated record.